GACGAACGCUGGCGGCGUGCUUAACACAUGCAAGUCGAGCGGUAAGGCCCUUUCGGGGGUACACGAGCGGCGAACGGGUGAGUAACACGUGGGUGACCUGCCCUCAGCUCUGGGAUAAGCCCGGGAAACUGGGUCUAAUACCGGAUAUGACUCCAUGACGCAUGUUGUGGGGUGGAAAGCCUUGUGCGGCUGAGGAUGGGCCCGCGACCUAUCAGCUUGUUGGUGGGGUGAUGGCCACCAAGGCGACGACGGGUAGCCGGCCUGAGAGGGCGACCGGCCACACUGGGACUGAGAUACGGCCCAGACUCCUACGGGAGGCAGCAGUGGGGAAUCUUGCGCAAUGGGCGAAAGCCUGACGCAGCGACGCCGCGUGAGGGAUGACGGCCU
This 387-nucleotide ribosomal RNA is filed under the name uncultured bacterium. Its description in RNAcentral is "bacterial SSU rRNA". It matches the Rfam family "Bacterial small subunit ribosomal RNA", at positions 28 to 417 of the family's 1533-position model. The record is from RNAcentral.